UACAGGGGGUGCAAACGUUGCUCGGAAUUAUUGGGCGUAAAGCGCGCGUAGGCGGCUACUUAAGUCGGAUGUGAAAACCCCUGGCUCAACUGGGGAAGUGCACCCGAAACUGAGUAGCUUGAGUGCAAAAGAGGGCCGCGGAAUUCCCGGUGUAGAGGUGAAAUUCGUAGAUAUUCGGAAGAACACCAGUGGCGAAGGCGGCUCACUGGCCCGGUACUGACGCUGAGGUGCGAAAGCGUGGGGAGCAAACAGG
RNAcentral lists this ribosomal RNA (253 nucleotides) under uncultured bacterium. RNAcentral describes it as "partial 16S ribosomal RNA". It matches the Rfam family "Bacterial small subunit ribosomal RNA", at positions 524 to 776 of the family's 1533-position model. The record is from RNAcentral.